AGAGGAGCGCUGUUUCUGGAGGAGUUAGGGGAAGGAGGCUGCCUGGUAAGCCAGGAAAGGGGCUUCUGGCCGUUCUGUUGGAGCGCCUCUGACUGACUUCCCCCAUGUGUCCGUGUGGCCACACCGUGCUACUUUCAGAGGCAGUGGGCUUUUCGCUAAGGGAUAAAAAGAAGUAAAACCUUGCCUUUAGCGCAGCUCUCCUUCACUGGGCAGAUUGCUCUCCCUCCCCACUCUCCCAGGCCCAAAUUGGAUCUCAGCGCCUGGGAGCUCCAACUUUAGCAAGUGCGAAAUCCUGUCUUCGGUUUUGGAAUUUUCAUCCGCACAGACUAUAUCAGCCACGGAUAGGAUAUGUGAGAAUACCAGCAUGUCAAGGCUGGGAAUCAUCCUUAGGCAUCACCUAGCCAGUCCUGCCUCUCAUUUUAAGGUGAUCACAGGAUCUGGUUUGCCACUGAAAGGAAUCUUGAUGCUGACCACUUCACCUCGGAGAGCAUGAACUGCUCCCAUGCCUUCAAGAGUUUUAGUGGGUAACCAGGAUGGAACUGCGGUGUUGCUUGCAGGAGAAGCUUACUACUGGUUUCUACUUCUCCAACCUCAUUGGUGGCUAUGCAGGCACUGUCUCCAGACUGUCUAUAUUCAACCCAGUAUCCAAGAAUUUCUUUACCACCAUCACAUUCAGGUUUCUCCCACUGUAGAGUGACACUAUCUUUGGAUAUUGAAAGAAUCUCAAGUUCUCCUGGUUGGCUUGGUUUAUCUGAAAUAUUUUAAAAUAAUGAAAAGGGAGUCAGCUUUACUGGUGAAAUAAAAGGACCAAACAUGGCUUGCUUCUUUAAUUUAACCCCUUCUUCUGAAUUCCUUACCAAAUGGAUCUUUGCAAACAACUGGUUCAGAAGCAGGGCUGGUCUCACUCAGGCCAACAUCAUUCUGUGCGAUGAUGCGGAACUGAUACUCAGCAUCGGGAACAAGCCCUGUGACAGUGUACAUUGUGGUGGUGAUCUGAGUCUUGUUGUGUCUGACCCACUUGUCAGUGGAUGUCUCUUUGCGUUCGAUGUAGUAGCCUGUGACUCUAGAACCACCAUCAUCUUUGGGCCGGGACCAGGACAAGCUAACAGAACUCUUGGUUACAUCGAGUACUUCUGGAGGAUUGCUUGGAGGUUCUGGAGGAUCUGUAAAUAUAAGUGGAAAGCACACAUGUAUUAGAAUACAGUCCCAAGUAUUAUAAGCCAAUGACUUUCAUUUAAAAACAGAAAAGUGCUGAAAUAAUGUUUAUAAUUUUGUGGUUGAAAGGGCACUUACUCAAUGGUGUUUUUGGUGUGACUGGUUCCUCAGAUUUCAAGGGUUUGCUUAUGCCAAACUGGUUUUCUGCUGAAACACGGAAAUGGUAUUCUACAUUCUCUUUGAGGCCUUUUACCACCAGAGAUGUACCUCGGACUCUGGAAUCAAUGGUAUACCAGGCGGCUUUAGGCACUUCUCGUCUCUCGAGGAUGUAGCCUAAGAUGUCAGCACCACCAUCAUCAGCAGGAGGUCUCCAGCUGACCCUCACAGAGCGGACUUGGAUGUCAUCAUAUUCCAGUGGCCCUUCUGGACUGUUGGGACUUCCUAUCACCCUGACCUUGAUGUAGACAGCCUUCUUGCCACAUUUAUUUUCCAGAACCAGGUCAUAAGUGCCAGAAUCACCCCUGUCUGCUUCUUUGAUCACAAGCUCAGUGUGUGUUUCAGAUGUUGCAAUCAUGGCACGCUUACUAAUAUCCUGGCCUUCCUUGGUCCAUUUACAUAUUGGGAAUGGUUUUCCUUUGAUUGGUAUGGUAAGUCUGAUGACGCCACCUUGCCUUACAAAGAUACCUUCUUGGUAUCUUUCAUCAAGUUCAUAAUCAGGAUAUUCUGGAAAAAAAGGUAGGGUUUCAAUUUAGCAUUUGGGGUAGGGGGACUAAGAAAUAAGUCUAUGGCAAUUAUUGCAGAAAGCAAAUGAUCAUAUGUCUCACCAAGCAUUUCAGUGACUUUGACUGUUCCUGGUACCUCAGCAGGCUCACCAGGUCCACCAGCAUUACAAGCUAGGACGCGGAACCUGUAUUCUGCACCCUGAGAAUCAGAGGUGGGGAGAGUGGUGGAAGGGCCUGUGGACUUACGGAUGCUGCUGCGACACUCUAUGACCUCAGACUGCAAGUAAGAGCCAAUCCCGAAGCGGUUUGUUGCAGCCACACGGAACACAUACUCAUUUCCUUCGAAUUUGGUCUCCUUUUUUCCAUGUCACUGUGGGCUUCGGUCGACCGAGCACUGGAAUUUCAACUUUGAUGUUGUCACCAGCUUUGGCAAUGACCAGUUUCUGAUAGAUGCCACGGAGAUCCAGCUCUGGAAGCAUUGUCUGC
RNAcentral lists this long non-coding RNA (2363 nucleotides) under Homo sapiens (human). RNAcentral's name for it is "HSALNT0307577". Lineage: Eukaryota; Metazoa; Chordata; Mammalia; Primates; Hominidae. The record is from RNAcentral.